GACGAACGCUGGCGGCGUGCUUAACACAUGCAAGUCGAACGGUAAGGCCCUUCGGGGUACACGAGUGGCGAACGGGUGAGUAACACGUGGGUGAUCUGCCCUGCACUUCGGGAUAAGCCUGGGAAACUGGGUCUAAUACCGGAUAGGACCCUGGGAUGCAUGUCCUGGGGUGGAAAGCUUUUGCGGUGUGGGAUGGGCCCGCGGCCCAUCAGCUUGUUGGUGGGGUGAUGGCCUACCAAGGCGACGACGGGUAGCCGGCCUGAGAGGGUGACCGGCCACACUGGGACUGAGAUACGGCCCAGACUCCUACGGGAGGCAGCAGUGGGGAAUAUUGCACAAUGGGCGCAAGCCUGAUGCAGCGACGCCGCGUGAGGGAUGACGGCCUUCGGGUUGUAAACCUCUUUCAGCACCGACGAAGCGCGAGUGACGGUAGGUGCAGAAGAAGGACCGGCCAACUACGUGCCAGCAGCCGCGGUAA
This 478-nucleotide ribosomal RNA is filed under the name uncultured bacterium. Its description in RNAcentral is "partial 16S ribosomal RNA". It matches the Rfam family "Bacterial small subunit ribosomal RNA", at positions 28 to 523 of the family's 1533-position model. The record is from RNAcentral.